This 253-nucleotide ribosomal RNA is filed under the name uncultured bacterium. RNAcentral describes it as "partial 16S ribosomal RNA". It matches the Rfam family "Bacterial small subunit ribosomal RNA", at positions 524 to 776 of the family's 1533-position model. The record is from RNAcentral.
UACGUAGGGUGCAAGCGUUGUUCGGAAUUACUGGGCGUAAAGCGCACGUAGGCGGCUUUGCAAGUUAGAGGUGAAAGCCUGGGGCUCAACUCCAGAACUGCCUUUAAAACUGCAUCGCUUGAAUCCAGGAGAGGUGAGUGGAAUUCCGAGUGUAGAGGUGAAAUUCGUAGAUAUUCGGAAGAACACCAGUGGCGAAGGCGGCUCACUGGACUGGUAUUGACGCUGAGGUGCGAAAGCGUGGGGAGCAAACAGG